AAUAGAUACCCUGGUAGUCCACGCCGUAAACGAUGGAUACUAGCUGUUUGAGCGCAAGUUUGAGUGGCUAAGCGAAAGUGAUAAGUAUCCCACCUGGGGAGUACGGGCGCAAGCCUGAAACUCAAAGGAAUUGACGGGGGCCCGCACAAGCGGUGGAGCAUGUGGUUUAAUUCGAUGAUACGCGAGGAACCUUACCAGGGCUUAAAUGUAGAUUGACGUAUUUGGAAACAGAUAUUUCUUCGGACAAUUUACAAGGUGCUGCAUGGUUGUCGUCAGCUCGUGCCGUGAGGUGUCAGGUUAAGUCCUAUAACGAGCGCAACCCCUGUUGUUAGUUGCCAGCGAGUAAUGUCGGGAACUCUAGCAAGACUGCCAGUGUAAACUGUGAGGAAGGUGGGGAUGACGUCAAAUCAUCACGGCCCUUAGUCCUGGGCCACACACGUGCUACAAUGGCCGGUACAGAGAGCAGCCACUUAGCGAUAAGGAGCGAAUCUAUAAAAGCCGGUCACAGUUCGGA
Molecule: ribosomal RNA, 514 nt
Filed under: uncultured bacterium
Lineage: Bacteria
Description: bacterial SSU rRNA
Rfam family: Bacterial small subunit ribosomal RNA
Source: RNAcentral